This 484-nucleotide ribosomal RNA is filed under the name uncultured bacterium. RNAcentral's name for it is "partial 16S ribosomal RNA". It matches the Rfam family "Bacterial small subunit ribosomal RNA", at positions 28 to 507 of the family's 1533-position model. The record is from RNAcentral.
AUUGAACGCUGGCGGCAUGCUUUACACAUGCAAGUCGAACGGCAGCGCGGGCUUCGGCCUGGCGGCGAGUGGCGAACGGGUGAGUAAUGCAUCGGAACGUGCCCAGUAGUGGGGGAUAGCCCGGCGAAAGCCGGAUUAAUACCGCAUACGACCUGAGGGUGAAAGCGGGGGACCGAAAGGCCUCGCGCUAUUUGAGCGGCCGAUGUCUGAUUAGCCGGUUGGUGGGGUAAAGGCUUACCAAGGCGACCAUCCGUAGGUGGUCGGAGAGGACGACGGGCCACAUGGGGACUGAGACAGGGCCCAGACUCCUACGGGAGGCGGCAGUGGGGAAUUUUGGACAAUGGGGGCAACCCUGCUCCAGCCAGGCCGCGUGCGGGAGGAAGGCCUUCGGGUGGUAAGCCGCUUUUGUUCGGGAAGAAAUCCUCUGGGCUAAUACCCCGGGGGGAUGACGGUACCGGAAGAAUAAGCACCGGCUAACUACGUG